AGAGUUUGAUCAUGGCUCAGAUUGAACGCUGGCGGCAUGCCUUACACAUGCAAGUCGAACGGCAGCACGGGGGCAACCCUGGUGGCGAGUGGCGAACGGGUGAGUAAUACAUCGGAACGUGUCCUGUAGUGGGGGAUAGCCCGGCGAAAGCCGGAUUAAUACCGCAUACGACCUGAGGGAGAAAGCGGGGGAUCUUCGGACCUCGCGCUAUAGGGGCGGCCGAUGGCAGAUUAGCUAGUUGGUGGGGUAAAGGCCUACCAAGGCGACGAUCUGUAGCUGGUCUGAGAGGACGACCAGCCACACUGGGACUGAGACACGGCCCAGACUCCUACGGGAGGCAGCAGUGGGGAAUUUUGGACAAUGGGGGCAACCCUGAUCCAGCAAUGCCGCGUGUGUGAAGAAGGCCUUCGGGUUGUAAAGCACUUUUGUCCGGAAAGAAAACCAUCGCCCUAAUAUGGUGGUGGGAUGACGGUACCGGAAGAAUAAGCACCGGCUAACUACGUGCCAGCAGCCGCGGUAAUACGUAGGGUGCGAGCGUUAAUCGGAAUUACUGGGCGUAAAGCGUGCGCAGGCGGUUUGUUAAGACCGAUGUGAAAUCCCCGGGCUCAACCUGGGAACUGCAUUGGUGACUGGCAGGCUUUGAGUGUGGCAGAGGGAGGUAGAAUUCCACGUGUAGCAGUGAAAUGCGUAGAGAUGUGGAGGAAUACCGAUGGCGAAGGCAGCCUCCUGGGCCAACACUGACGCUCAUGCACGAAAGCGUGGGGAGCAAACAGGAUUAGAUACCCUGGUAGUCCACGCCCUAAACGAUGUCAACUAGUUGUUGGGGAUUCAUUUCCUUAGUAACGUAGCUAACGCGUGAAGUUGACCGCCUGGGGAGUACGGUCGCAGAUUAAACUCAAGGGAUUGACGGGGACCCGCACAAGCGGUGGAUGAUGUGGAUUAUCGAUGCAACGCGAAAACCUUACCUACCCUUGACAUGGUCGGAACCCUGCUGAAAGUUGUG
Molecule: ribosomal RNA, 1003 nt
Filed under: uncultured bacterium
Lineage: Bacteria
Description: bacterial SSU rRNA
Rfam family: Bacterial small subunit ribosomal RNA
Source: RNAcentral